Molecule: transfer RNA, 77 nt
Filed under: Bacillota bacterium
Lineage: Bacteria; Bacillati; Bacillota
Also listed under: 1 other name
Description: tRNA-Pro
Rfam family: tRNA
About the family: Transfer RNA (tRNA) molecules are approximately 80 nucleotides in length.
Source: RNAcentral
CGGGGCGUGGCGCAGCUUGGUAGCGCGCUUGACUGGGGGUCAAGAGGUCGAAGGUUCAAAUCCUUUCGCUCCGACCA